Molecule: long non-coding RNA, 2362 nt
Organism: Syngnathoides biaculeatus (alligator pipefish)
Lineage: Eukaryota; Metazoa; Chordata; Actinopteri; Syngnathiformes; Syngnathidae
Exons: 6
Source: RefSeq, a predicted model, not a curated record
AUGAACACGAUGACGCCUCGAGAGUGAAAGAAAUUGAUCGCCAUAUCAAAAAUAAAUUCCCACGGGAUUGGAUGGAAGGAGAACUCGUGGAUACAAUUGGAAAGAAGGAAGUAGCCGCUCUGUUAAGCGACUUUAUUCGCAAAAUGGAUCAACCUGGUAAAGCAUUGAUUGUGCAGGUGGCGUCAGGAUACUAUUGAUUAUGGAUCAAGAGGUUUCAAGGCGUUGGAAAUUCACGAGAAACGACAAAAAACACGUCAAACAUCGGAAAGCAACGAAAAGGAACUUUUUCCACAGCUGCUCCAUUAAGAUGUCAACCCCAGUUGCAGAAAGGCUCAUCAAUAACCAGCCCAACUUGCAAACACUGUUUUUAGGAGCCUGAGGAACAUAACUACAUACUGACUGAUUCGUCCAUAAACCAUAAUUACGCUGGUGGUCUGGAUGAAUUAAUGGAAUACUACGUGGAAGCUAAGAUUUAUGAUCAGGCUUGUGACUUUUCUCCUGCGGACGUGAGCGUGUUUGAUAUUCGCAGCAAUCUCAGGCAAAUCCUCCUCCGGUCGACUGGAUUCACUCACCUGUUAUAUCGCCCCCGCAUUGGAUUAAAUCAACUUGUUCCCUCGACACCUGCAUUUUUUUUUUUUUUUCCCCCCCGCCCAUGUCUUGUGCGUUGCCUGCAUUGAUUCAGUCUCAUCUUGAUCCGCGUGCGAGCAUUCGCGGGGGAUCUCCUUCCGCGCUAAUGCGACGUCGUAAUGGACUUGUUCCAUCAAAGCGAGGACCCGCCGCGGGCCACACGGCGCCAGGCGUCAAUCGGAGGGGAUUGGGCGGACGCAGUAACGCGGCAGGUUGCUUGAUGAAACGAUGCCCUGGUACGGAGGAAAUUGCAGCGUGUGUUGUUCUUUCCACACACGGCAACCUGCCGAGGAUUACUGCAGAACAGUAAAACCUCCCGCACACUGCAACCGACACCCUGCCACGAACGCUGAUGACUGGCCCACCGCCCGACUCCAGCACCUGGAAUUCCUGGGCGGUCACUUAUCCAAAUACCAACCAGGACCGAACCUGCUUAGCUUCCGAGAUCAGACAGCAUGUGGGGAUUGGGUCAACUACGUACAUGCGUGAAGCACACGGAAUCUGCUCCUCAGCCUACUGCUACUUCCUAGUUUACCUGACACCGCCCCCCUCUGCUCUUAAAGGGGUACACUCAUGAUUACAAACAGAACACACACCCGCAAGUCUAUAUCUGCGGGCAUGACUGACCACACCCGUACAUCUUUUUUUACGGUGCAUCGGAUUCAGGAUCAUACAUGGAGUGCAGGUGGACUUUUAACCCUUUCCGGGCAGGUGUUGCAAAUUUGCCACAGGUUUAAUAUCAUCGAAAAUUUCAACUCCGGAGGAUCAUUUUCUGAAGCCACUUCUUCCGGAGGUAUCCCGAGGCGUUCCCAAGUCUCUCGUCUCUCCAUUCGUGUUCUGGGUCGUCCUCGGGGUCUCUUCCUGGUGGGACAUGCCCGGAUCACCUCACCGUCCGGGAGGCAUCCCAAUCAGAUGCCCCCAGCCACCUCAUCUGGCUCCUCUCGACACUUGACCGAGCUUCUCGCCCGUUCUCUAAGGGAGAUCCCGGACACCCUGCGGGGGAACCUCAUUUCGGCCGCUUGUAUCCGGGAUCUCCUUCUUUCGGUCACGACCCGCAGCUCGUGCCCAUAGGGGAGGGGAGGAACGCAGAUCGACUGCUAAAUUGAGAGCGUCGGCUUUCGACCGCAACGGAUGGAUACAAAAUCCGCAGUUGCGAAAGCUGCCGGAUUUCGAUUUUGGUGUAUUUUGGUCGGAUGUUACGAGCUCACCCAAGAGAGGCAACUGCGAAGCUGCUGCUCCUGUGAGCCUUUGAGAUGAUAAAGUAUUCAUAGAACAUGAUAUGAUAUCAUCACAACGUAUAUAAAACGCAUUCAAUAAUUAAGCAGAGGCGUGCGCUCCAAAGAGUUAGCAUGUUUGGUCCUUAAAUUUGUUACAGUCAGAGGAGUCCUUGUUUUUGUUUCUUUUCUUUCCUCUAAAACCGUAAAAUCAAGACGGCUGCAAAAAUAAUCACGGAUUGAAACGAGCGCUCUGUGCGGUCCCCGAGGGGGGACUCGCGCCUCGGACAACUUCCUGUCGGCGUGUUCAUCAAGAACUCUGGAAAAAAUGGAAAAAAAAAAAAAAAAUGCGACGCCUGCCUGCACUGCAGGGAAUGCUGGGGGUGCACAGAGUACAGGAUGGAUGGAUGAUAAAUGGAAAGAAAGAGGGAUGACAGAAAAGAAAUCCGUCGAUAGAAGAUGUAUGGUUUCAAGUAAAAACAAAAAAAUAUGUGACUUAUUAAAAAAACAAGAUUGAGAUU